ACGUAGGAGGCGAGCGUUAUCCGGAGUUACUGGGCGUAAAGGGCGUGCAGGCGGUUGGCUAAGUUCGUUGUGAAAGCGCCCAGGCUUAACCGGGAGAGGACGUGCGAGACUGUCGGACUAGAGGCAGGUAGAGGCAAGUGGAAUUCCGGGUGUAGUGGUGAAAUGCGUAGAGAUCCGGAGGAACACCAGAGGCGAAGGCGACACCCUGGGCCGUACCUGACGCUAAGACGCGACAGCACGGGGAGCGAACGG
This 252-nucleotide ribosomal RNA is filed under the name uncultured prokaryote. RNAcentral's name for it is "partial 16S ribosomal RNA". It matches the Rfam family "Bacterial small subunit ribosomal RNA", at positions 525 to 775 of the family's 1533-position model. The record is from RNAcentral.